AUACGGAGGGGGUUAGCGUUGUUCGGAAUUACUGGGCGUAAAGCGCACGUAGGCGGAUCGGAAAGUUGGGGGUGAAAUCCCAGGGCUCAACCCUGGAACUGCCUCCAAAACUAACAGUCUAGAGUUCGAGAGAGGUGAGUGGAAUUCCAAGUGUAGAGGUGAAAUUCGUAGAUAUUUGGAGGAACACCAGUGGCGAAGGCGGCUCACUGGCUCGAUACUGACGCUGAGGUGCGAAAGCGUGGGGAGCAAACAGGAUUAGAAACCCUAGUAGUCC
This 274-nucleotide ribosomal RNA is filed under the name uncultured bacterium. RNAcentral describes it as "partial 16S ribosomal RNA". It matches the Rfam family "Bacterial small subunit ribosomal RNA", at positions 523 to 796 of the family's 1533-position model. The record is from RNAcentral.